This 348-nucleotide ribosomal RNA is filed under the name uncultured bacterium. RNAcentral's name for it is "bacterial SSU rRNA". It matches the Rfam family "Bacterial small subunit ribosomal RNA", at positions 167 to 507 of the family's 1533-position model. The record is from RNAcentral.
UACCGCAUAACGCCCUGGAAGGGGGAAAGGUGGGGGACCGCAAGGCCUCACGCGAAUGGAGCGGCCGAUGUCAGAUUAGCUAGUUGGUGGGGUAAAGGCCCACCAAGGCGACGAUCUGUAGCGGGUCUGAGAGGAUGAUCCGCCACACUGGGACUGAGACACGGCCCAGACUCCUACGGGAGGCAGCAGUGGGGAAUUUUGGACAAUGGGCGCAAGCCUGAUCCAGCCAUGCCGCGUGCGGGACGAAGGCCUUCGGGUUGUAAACCGCUUUCAGCCGGAAAGAAAUCGCCGUUUUAAUACAGACGGUGGAUGACGGUACCGGAAGAAGAAGCACCGGCUAACUACGUG